Molecule: long non-coding RNA, 2807 nt
Organism: Eupeodes corollae
Lineage: Eukaryota; Metazoa; Arthropoda; Insecta; Diptera; Syrphidae
Exons: 2
Source: RefSeq, a predicted model, not a curated record
CAAGUUGUCAGUGAAUACAAAUACUUUGGAGUGAUCUUCACCUGCAAUUUAAAAAUGGAAAAGCACUUGAAAGAUAAGCUUGCAAAGGCAAAAACUGCAAUAAACUCAACUUGGAAGAUGUGUUUCUCCAACAAAUAUCUAAACCAUAGCACGAAAUUUAAGUUUUUGAAUCUGUUGCAGAAUCAAUCAUGCUUUACUCAGCGAAAGUAUGGGGAGGUUAGCAAUAUAAACUUUAACGCUUCUACUUAAAACGCACGUGCAGACUACCAUCGAACAUACCAAACUAUUCGUUGAACCUGGAACUGGAUUAUCACCGUUAUACAUAAAAACGCUAAAAUUGCAAUCUGAUUACAUUAUAAAGGUCUUAAACAUGGAUGAAGGGCGACUUCCGAAAAAAAACAUGAUGAUAACAGUGAGCAGAAAAGUCGGAUGGUAUGAUGAGUGGCUGGAUCAUGCACGUGUGUGACCAAGCGACUCCCAAUAACUGGAAACAAAGACUCUACAAGAUAAUUUCCAACUCAGAUAUAAACUGUAGGAAUGAGCAUGAAAGUGAAGCAAGAGGAUCUCUAUACAGAUCGGUGUACAGUACAGAACUAUAACCUUCAACAUGCAAACUUCUUCAGAAACGAACUAGGCGUAGAAUCCAUCUCAAUGAUGCUAAGGACGAGGGUAGAACUUCUUCCGCUUAGUUAUAGGCCACACCGAAAUGACCUUCCAAUAUUGUGCAAUAUAUGUAACACAGCAGAAAGAUAAGCCAUAUUUCAUUUUAAGGGUAGAUGUCCGACUACAACCAACCAACCGACUCUUCGUGAAACAAGGCGACAUUUCUUCGGUAAUUGUCAGAAAAGCUAUUACUUUUUUUUAAACAUUUCUAAAUGCUAGCUUCUAAUAUUUCAAGUAAAUCAUUGUUGAAUCAUUUUAUUUUUCUUAAAAAAUAUUUCUUAUUUAAAUUUAAAAAUUGUUUUUUAAUUUCAUAAACAAUAUACCAAUCGGCAGAUGGUAAAGCCACGUCAUCAAGAUUUUGUAACUGUUUAUUGUUAUAUUAUUAUGUUGUUAAUAAAUAAAAUCAUUUUUAUCUAAAAAAAAUCACAUAUUUUUCCUCUUACAAUUCAAUUUUAUUAAAAUUGAUUAAAUUGAUCUUAAGUUUAUCCCCUAUUUUAACCUAAGCAUGAUGUAGAAGAACAAAAACGAUCUUAAGUCAAGCCAUCCGAUUCUAAAAGUUUAAUAAGAGAAGACAAAUCCUCAGUAAAUAAUUUGGUUUAGCCAAAAUAGCAUUUCACAACCUUUAAAAAAUCUAACUUUCCAAACUUUCUUUACAAAAAAAAAUCGAAUUUAAAUUCCUGCAAUGGGGAUUAAGUAGUCUACGAAUUUUGAAAUUGUUUUAAGAUCAACUUUUCAACUAGCUAAUUCCUAAAAUUUAAAAUUGUAACAUUAGUAAAGCUAAAGUUAAACACUCUUAAUUCAGAUACUACCCUAUAAAAAUGGUAAUAAAUACAAAUUAACAUUACCAUCCUCAUUCGAUUCGAAAAUAUUGUUAAGUUAGUUUAUCUCUCCUAUUUCCGUUCCUAAACUAACCAAUUAUUUCCAGAUUUAGUAGCUUCAUUGUUGCCCCAAAGUAUAAUAGCUGAUGAUAUUUUCUCCAUGUGACCAACCAUACAACAGCAGCUCUACAGCCCAUCAGAGGUGUUGUAGACUUAAUUAACAUUUCUUGUGGCUUCAACAGCUCAGCAGUGAAUGUAUAAGGUUUUGUAAGAUUGAAUUGGUUUAAGCCGGCUUUUUGCGAAUUUUACAGGUAACUUUUUCUUUUCUUUUUUUUUUGUUAAACAAUUUUGGCCUUUUUUUGUAUAGUAUAGUGCGAAAAAGAGCUUUAAUAAUUGUGCGUUAUAGUGUUUGAGUUGUGAGUGUUGAGUUGAUGUACUCAGAGAAAAGAGGUUUCGCAUAUUCGCAGAAUAACCGAAUAACCAGUGUAAACUGUGUGAAGUGUUAAGCUGCGGCACCAUAGAAAAAUAAGAUCUUUUUGCAACAAAUUUUAUAUAUUCGGGUUAAAAAGGUAAUUCAGUUGGAAGAUACUAGUGGACGCGUUAACAUCAACAUCAGCUAAAAUUUAAAAAAUUGUGAGCAUAGUGAAAAAGAGAUGUUUAAAGAUACUAAUCUUAUACUCAAAAUUUUACAAAAUGAAAUCGUUUGAGAAACAGGUUUAAAUGAAAAUUUUUGCAAUUUUAAUAAACUUAAACCAAAAAGUGUUUUAGUUUUUAGAAUUUCUAAACAAUGACAAAUAUCUGUAAAAUCAAAAUUCAACUUUCAAUAUUUGUGAAAUGUGAUACAAAAUACAAGAAACUGAUGAAAAAUGUUGGCUUUUGAUCAAAAAAUAAAUAAAGGAUAAGAGAAGGAUGUGAGUCAAUAAACCAAAAACUGGACACAACAUCAAAAAAUCUGAUGGAUUUCCUAUUUUACCAUAAUGGAAUAAGUUGAAGCUUUCAACCACAGUGGUGUCCAUUUUUUUUGGUUUGGUAUAAAUAAUGUUUUUGCAGAUUGUCAAAUUAAAACAUAUUUGUGCAAAAUUUUAGACAACUCUUGGGCAAUUUGUAUUUUUGGUAAGUAGCAAAAUAUAAAUGUCCUCUCAUUAAAAACGGUUCAUCUGAACACUCCUAAGCAGUGACAGUCGGUGGAAAAGAACAUGGCAAACAAACCUAUGAUUGGGAAACGCCAUAAUUAAUGACAUUACUUAGGCUUAUUAAAAUUUUCAUUGUAAAAUUGUGUGCUUUUAUUUCUAGUCAGAAAAAUAAAGAAGAAUAAAAAAAAAUUAA